GUAGGGUGCGAGCGUUAUUCGGAUUUACUGGGCGUAAAGCGUGUGUAGGUGGUUUAACACGUCCUUGAUUAAAGACUCGGGCUCAACUCGAGGAAUGUUGAGGAUACGAUUAGACUAGAGGUUUGCAGGGGCAGAUGGAAUUCCCGGUGUAGCAGUGAUAUGCGUAGAUAUCGGGAAGAACACCGAUGGCGAAAGCAGUCUGCUGGGCUCAUCCUGACACUGAGACACGAAAGCGUGGGUAGCGAACGGGAUUAGAUACCCCGGUAGUCCACGCCCUAAACGAUGCUGACUAGGUAUGUGACGUAUCGACCCGUUGCGUACCGUAGCUAACGCGUUAAGUCAGCCGCCUGGGGAGUACGGCCGCAAGGCUA
This 371-nucleotide ribosomal RNA is filed under the name uncultured bacterium. RNAcentral describes it as "bacterial SSU rRNA". It matches the Rfam family "Bacterial small subunit ribosomal RNA", at positions 527 to 896 of the family's 1533-position model. The record is from RNAcentral.